AACGAACGCUGGCGGCAGGCUUAACACAUGCAAGUCGAGCGAGACCUUCGGGUCUAGCGGCGGACGGGUGAGUAACGCGUGGGGACGUGCCCUUCUCUACGGAAUAGCCCCGGGAAACUGGGAGUAAUACCGUAUACGCCCUUUGGGGGAAAGAUUUAUCGGAGAAGGAUCGGCCCGCGUUGGAUUAGGUAGUUGGUGGGGUAAUGGCCCACCAAGCCGACGAUCCAUAGCUGGUUUGAGAGGAUGAUCAGCCACACUGGGACUGAGACACGGCCCAGACUCCUACGGGAGGCAGCAGUGGGGAAUCUUAGACAAUGGGGGCAACCCUGAUCUAGCCAUGCCGCGUGAGUGAUGAAGGCCUUAGGGUUGUAAAGCUCUUUCAGCUGGGAAGAUAAUGACGGUACCAGCAGAAGAAGCCCCGGCUAACUCCGUG
RNAcentral lists this ribosomal RNA (433 nucleotides) under uncultured bacterium. Its description in RNAcentral is "partial 16S ribosomal RNA". It matches the Rfam family "Bacterial small subunit ribosomal RNA", at positions 29 to 507 of the family's 1533-position model. The record is from RNAcentral.